Molecule: ribosomal RNA, 331 nt
Filed under: uncultured bacterium
Lineage: Bacteria
Description: bacterial SSU rRNA
Rfam family: Bacterial small subunit ribosomal RNA
Source: RNAcentral
UGCGUAGGCGGUUGCCUAAGUCAGAUGUGAAAUCCCCGGGCUUAACUCGGGUGGUGCAUUUGAAACUGGGUAGCUAGAGUGCAGGAGAGGGAAGCGGAAUUCCUAGUGUAGCGGUGAAAUGCGUAGAUAUUAGGAGGAACACCAGUGGCGAAGGCGGCUUUCUGGACUGUAACUGACGCUGAGGCACGAAAGCGUGGGGAGCAAACAGGAUUAGAUACCCUGGUAGUCCACGCUGUAAACGAUGGAUACUAGGUGUAGGGGGCGUAGAGCCUUCUGUGCCGCAGCUAACGCAAUAAGUAUCCCGCCUGGGGAGUACGGCCGCAAGGUUGAA